Molecule: ribosomal RNA, 468 nt
Filed under: uncultured bacterium
Lineage: Bacteria
Description: partial 16S ribosomal RNA
Rfam family: Bacterial small subunit ribosomal RNA
Source: RNAcentral
GACGAACGCUGGCGGCGUGCUUAACACAUGCAAGUCGAACGGAAAGGCCCUGCUUUUGUGGGGUGCUCGAGUGGCGAACGGGUGAGUAGCACGUGAGUAACCUGCCCUUGACUUUGGGAUAACUUCAGGAAACUGGGGCUAAUACCGGAUAGGAGCUCCUGCUGCAUGGUGGGGGUUGGAAAGUUUCGGCGGUUGGGGAUGGACUCGCGGCUUAUCAGCUUGUUGGUGGGGUAGUGGCUUACCAAGGCUUUGACGGGUAGCCGGCCUGGGAGGGUGACCGGCCACAUUGGGACUGAGAUACGGCCCAGACUCCUACGGGAGGCAGCAGUGGGGAAUAUUGCACAAUGGGGGGAAGCCUGAUGCAGCAACGCCGCGUGCGGGAUGACGGCCUUCGGGUUGUAAACCGCUUUCGCCUGUGACGAAGCGUGAGUGACGGUAAUGGGUAAAGAAGCACCGGCUAACUACGUG